GAUGAACGCUGGCGGCGUGCCUAUUACAUGCAAGUCGAGCGAACAGAUGAGGAGCUUGCUCCUCUGACGUUAGCGGCGGACGGGUGAGUAACACGUGGAUAACCUACCUAUAAGACUGGGAUAACUUCGGGAAACCGGAGCUAAUACCGGAUAAUAUAUUGAACCGCAUGGUUCAAUAGUGAAAGACGGUUUUGCUGUCACUUAUAGAUGGAUCCGCGCCGCAUUAGCUAGUUGGUAAGGUAACGGCUUACCAAGGCAACGAUGCGUAGCCGACCUGAGAGGGUGGUCGGCCACACUGGAACUGGGACACGGUCCAGGCUCCUACGGGAGGCAGCAGUAGGGAAUCUUCCGCGAUGGGCGAAAGCCUGACGGAGCAACGCCGCGUGAGUGAUGAAGGUCUUCGGAUCGUAAAACUCUGUUAUUAGGGAAGAACAAAUGUGUAAGUAACUAUGCACGUCUUGACGGUACCUAAUCAGAAAGCCACGGCUAACUACGUG
This 497-nucleotide ribosomal RNA is filed under the name uncultured bacterium. RNAcentral's name for it is "partial 16S ribosomal RNA". It matches the Rfam family "Bacterial small subunit ribosomal RNA", at positions 28 to 507 of the family's 1533-position model. The record is from RNAcentral.